GGGGCUGUAGUCGGUCCCAGGGGUUGGGCUGGGCGCCCAUUAAAGCGGCACGGGGGCUGGGUUCAGAACGUCGUGAGACAGUUCGGUCCCUAUCCGCCGUGGGCGUAGGAAAUUUGAGAGGAGCUGUCCUUAGUACGAGAGGACCGGGAUGGACCAACCUCUGGUGCACCAGUUGUUCCGCCAGGAGCACAGCUGGGUAGCUAUGUUGGGAAGGGAUAAACGCUGAAAGCAUCUAAGCGUGAAGCCCACCUCAAGAUUAGAUUUCCCAUAGCGUAAGCUAGUAAGACCCCUGAAAGACUAUCAGGUUGAUAGGUUGGAGGUGUAAGUACAGUAAUGUAUUCAGCUGACCAAUACUAAUAGGUCGAGGGCUUGAUCAAAUU
This 380-nucleotide ribosomal RNA is filed under the name Clostridium botulinum C/D str. DC5. Its description in RNAcentral is "bacterial LSU rRNA". It matches the Rfam family "Bacterial large subunit ribosomal RNA", at positions 2549 to 2925 of the family's 2925-position model. Lineage: Bacteria; Bacillati; Bacillota; Clostridia; Eubacteriales; Clostridiaceae. The record is from RNAcentral.